RNAcentral lists this long non-coding RNA (481 nucleotides) under Olea europaea (common olive). Its description in RNAcentral is "long non-coding RNA (OEUR_LNC007689)". Lineage: Eukaryota; Viridiplantae; Streptophyta; Magnoliopsida; Lamiales; Oleaceae. The record is from RNAcentral.
UUAGGUAUGGAGCUUGAAGCUAAAUCUACAUCAAAACUCAUACUUCAAGAUGAGUGAAGGCCUUGAGAAUAUCGGAAUAAAAGGCCAAUGAGAGGGCCACCUCUGAGAAAAAGUAAGCUGAUGAGGAUGGGGCUCGUGCUGACAGGAAGAAGUUCCCUGCUAGGAGGUAAUGAAAAAGGCUGAGGAGACUGAAGUCCAAUCUGCCCAAAGCAGUUAAGCUAUGGAGGAAAUCGCCUGAGUUUGAUGCCCUAGCUCAAGAUGAUUACAUCGCCAGCUUGGUGGAUGUAAUUAAGCAUAUCAAGCAGAUGCGACUGGACUUUGACGUAGUUUUCAUUUAGGGAGCUUUGGAUGAGCAGAGGACUACUUUGCAAAAGAUGUCUACUACAGCAAGGGCAGUCAUCUCUUCCCUGGCAGAAGACAAAAGUCUUGACGUGGAUGCCUCGGAUCAGCUCAACCAGCUAUUCGCCUGACUUGUCUUUCU